Molecule: small nucleolar RNA, 90 nt
Filed under: Danio rerio (zebrafish)
Lineage: Eukaryota; Metazoa; Chordata; Actinopteri; Cypriniformes; Danionidae
Description: Small nucleolar RNA snR50 (ENSDARG00000098998.2)
Source: RNAcentral
GAAUAUGAAAAAGAAGCAGCAAAGAUAUAAGAGAACUUUUAUGUUUGAAUCAAACAACAUAACGAUUACAGGCAAAUCAGCAGUGUUAUC